GGCUUGAUAAUUGUAGAAGGAGGCUAUUGUAGCAGGUUGAGAGCAUUUUCUUCAUUAUCCUUUUUCUAUUUAUUGUAUUAAUUUUCUGUGGGGUCGGGGGCGAGCAGGGAGCCACUGUUGAUGGCUUUAGCCUAGAGAAAGGUUGUUGACAAGCAUCAAUGAUACACUGAUGUUAUCUGCUGGAUUGGUUGCUAAUGACUUUGGGAGCCCAGAAAAAAAACAUCUUUCAUUAUUCUGAAAGAACAAUGUUUUUUAUUUUCUGUGAAAACAUUACCUGUUUUCAUCAAGCAAAAAGAACUUGGACCCAAAAGUUUUCAAUUCUUUUCACAAGAUGUGUUAAGGAGCGAAGCAACGAAUACUUCAGCAGUCUUCGGGUAAUUCAGGUCAUAGCUAAAGCUAUUAUUGUUGGCUUACUACGGUGGCAUUUAGAUACUUCAUCUCCUAAAAAGGCAGCAGAUCAGGCAAGUAAUGCUAAUUUUGUUUUAAAACUAACUAGCAUGUUUCUAUCUUUUUAGUUCUCUAACAAAUUUGGUAUGGAAAAUUUUGCAACAUUGUAAUGAUAUUGUUCAUGCAUCCAUAAACUAUGAGGGGAAUAUGCAGAAAGAGUAUAAUGCUCAUUUUGUUUUAAAACUAACUAGCAUGUUUCUAUCUGUUUAGUUCUAUAACAAAUUUGGUAUGGAAAAUUUCGCAACAUUGUAAUGAUAUUGUUCAUGCAUCCAUAAACUAUGAGGGUAAUAUGCAGAAAGAGUUCAGCAUGCACUUGGAACAAUUGGACUUAUUUUCUUAUGUGUGAAUACAAUAGUUAACUGGUCUUGUGUCAACUCCUGGUUGUGAGAAUAUUAAUAGAAGCUAACAAAAUGUCUUAAUAAGUUAUCUUCGAUAUUGUUCAUGCAUCCAUAAACUAUGAGGGUAAUAUGCAGAAAGAGUUCAGCAUGCACUUGGAACAAUUGGACUUAUUUUCUUAUGUGUGAAUACAAUAGUUAACUGGUCUUGUGUCAACUCCUAGUUGUGAGAAAAGUAAUAGAAUCUAACAAAAUGUCUUAAUGAGUUAUCUUCCAUCAAAAUAUAUUAUUGUGACUAACCACAAGUUUUUGCAGCAAAUAUAUACUAUGUUCACAUUGUUGGAGCUAAGUUUGUCCGCACGUUUCAUAUUGCAUUCUAUGCUUGUCCUCAAAAAACAAAGAGCAAUGAUUAAUUCUGACUGUUUUCAAGUGACUGCAAAGACAGGCAGGGACAAAUGAACAGAUCAUCUAUGCCUCAAGCCGCUAAAGUUGUACGUUGGUUGUAUCAAAUCAUGG
RNAcentral lists this long non-coding RNA (1298 nucleotides) under Nicotiana benthamiana. Its description in RNAcentral is "long non-coding RNA (NBEN_LNC009340)". Lineage: Eukaryota; Viridiplantae; Streptophyta; Magnoliopsida; Solanales; Solanaceae. The record is from RNAcentral.